This 388-nucleotide ribosomal RNA is filed under the name uncultured bacterium. RNAcentral describes it as "bacterial SSU rRNA". It matches the Rfam family "Bacterial small subunit ribosomal RNA", at positions 28 to 417 of the family's 1533-position model. The record is from RNAcentral.
GACGAACGCUGGCGGCGUGCUUAACACAUGCAAGUCGAGCGGUAAGGCCCUUUCGGGGGUACACGAGCGGCGAACGGGUGAGUAACACGUGGGUGACCUGCCCUCAGCUCUGGGAUAAGCCUGGGAACCCGGGUCUAAUACUGGAUAUGACUCCAUGACGCAUGUUGUGGGGUGGAAAGCCUCGUGCGGCUGAGGAUGGGCCCGCGGCCUAUCAGCUUGUUGGUGGGGUGANGGCCUACCAAGGCGACGACGGGUAGCCGGCCUGAGAGGGCGACCGGCCACACUGGGACUGAGACACGGCCCAGACUCCUACGGGAGGCAGCAGUGGGGAAUCUUGCGCAAUGGGCGAAAGCCUGACGCAGCGACGCCGCGUGAGGGAUGACGGCCU